GGGAAGGAGCCGACCCCCAGCCCUGCCUGCGCUCACCCAGGGCAGCCAGCACGGUCACAGCCACGAUGAGCAGCACGGAGAAGACAUAGAGGACUUUGAUGGCCGUCUGCAGGGACAGGUUCUUCUGGCACUGGCUGCAGCCACCUCGUGCCCUGCCUGAGCAAGAGAGGGAUGGAUCAGAGUUGUACCACAGGGAGGGAAGAGGUCCUCUGCUGAAAGGCAAUACGAGGAGCAGGUCGGUGCCACCACAGCCCCAGCAGGGCUGAGGGGAGAGCCUGACUGCAGUGACACCCUCCUGGGUCAAAAUCCCUUCCAAGGAUUCACCAAACACUUGCACAGGGCACGGAGCAGAUCUAAGCCCCAAAAGGAAAGCGGUGGCUCCCCAAAAGGUGCUGCAGUCCAAUGUCAGCACAGCUCUGGAGAUGUCACCCAAAGCCUGGUGGCAGCUCUGGUUCUGCAGGGCUUGGCCAGAACCUCUGAGCCUGCUUCAUUCCCAAAAAUAAUAUCAUUUCUGAGCUGUCCCAUCC
RNAcentral lists this long non-coding RNA (527 nucleotides) under Gallus gallus (chicken). Its description in RNAcentral is "long non-coding RNA NONGGAT006563". The record is from RNAcentral. Lineage: Eukaryota; Metazoa; Chordata; Aves; Galliformes; Phasianidae.